GCGGACGGGUGAGUAACACGUAAAGAACCUGCCCUCAGGUCUGGGAUAACCACGAGAAAUCGGGGCUAAUACCGGAUGGGUCAUCGGACCGCAUGGUCCGAGGAUGAAAGGCGCUUCGGCGUCGCCUGGGGAUGGCUUUGCGGUGCAUUAGCUAGUUGGUGGGGUAAUGGCCCACCAAGGCGACGAUGCAUAGCCGACCUGAGAGGGUGAUCGGCCACACUGGGACUGAGACACGGCCCAGACUCCUACGGGAGGCAGCAGUAGGGAAUCUUCCACAAUGGACGAAAGUCUGAUGGAGCAACGCCGCGUGAACGAUGAAGGCCUUCGGGUCGUAAAGUUCUGUUGUAAGGGAAGAACAAGUGCCGCAGGCAAUGGCGGCACCUUGACGGUACCUUGCGAGAAAGCCACGGCUAACUACGUGCCAGCAGCCGCGGUAAUACGUAGGUGGCAAGCGUUGUCCGGAAUUAUUGGGCGUAAAGCGCGCGCAGGCGGCCUCUUAAGUCUGAUGUGAAAGCCCCCGGCUCAACCGGGGAGGGCCAUUGGAAACUGGGAGGCUUGAG
This 560-nucleotide ribosomal RNA is filed under the name Exiguobacterium sp. NH88-23. Its description in RNAcentral is "bacterial SSU rRNA". It matches the Rfam family "Bacterial small subunit ribosomal RNA", at positions 98 to 646 of the family's 1533-position model. RNAcentral also lists the same sequence under 1 other name. The record is from RNAcentral. Lineage: Bacteria; Bacillati; Bacillota; Bacilli; Caryophanales.